RNAcentral lists this ribosomal RNA (439 nucleotides) under uncultured bacterium. Its description in RNAcentral is "bacterial SSU rRNA". It matches the Rfam family "Bacterial small subunit ribosomal RNA", at positions 338 to 795 of the family's 1533-position model. The record is from RNAcentral.
CCUACGGGAGGCUGCAGUGGGGAAUAUUGCACAAUGGGCGCAAGCCUGAUGCAGCGACGCCGCGUGAGCGAUGAAGGCCUUCGGGUCGUAAAGCUCUGUCCUAAGGGAAGAAUAAUGACGGUACCCAAGGCGGAAGCCCCGGCUAACUACGUGCCAGCAGCCGCGGUAAUACGUAGGGGGCGAGCGUUAUCCGGAAUCACUGGGCGUAAAGGGUGCGUAGGCGGCCCAGCAAGUCAGGAGUUAAAUCCCUCGGCUCGACCGAGGUCAGCGCUUGAAACUGUAGGGCUUGAGUGCAGGCGAGUGGAGGGGAAUUCCGAGGGAAGCGGUGAAAUUCGUAGAUAUAGGAGGAACACCAGUGGCGAAGGCGGCUCUCUGGACUGCAACUGACGCUGUGGCACGAAAGCGUGGGGAGCGAACAGGAUUAGAUACCCUAGUAGUC